RNAcentral lists this long non-coding RNA (897 nucleotides) under Malus domestica (apple). RNAcentral's name for it is "long non-coding RNA (MDOM_LNC018511)". Lineage: Eukaryota; Viridiplantae; Streptophyta; Magnoliopsida; Rosales; Rosaceae. The record is from RNAcentral.
UUUGGGGUAAACAUAUCACUGUAUAAAGACUAAACAAAAAAAAUAAGAGAUUAACAACAACUUGUUUUUGUUUUUUUUUGUUUUUUGAACAACAGCAACAACUUGUUUGACAUUAGUUUUGAAAUGACAUCAUUCCUUACAUCCUUGCCCCUAUUCGAAAUGGUCUUAUUAAUACAAUAUAUGCGGACCAACUAGGCCGGCUGUCAUGUAAAGGAUGAUUAGUAUAUAAUUUGUAUGAUGCGGUGAUCGUGCCGAUGACCGGCUAUAAUGUAAAGGAUGAUUAGUAUAUAAUUUUUAGGGACACUUUGGAUGCGGUCCCUAGCUAUCAACAUAAACCUUGUUAGUUUUUAGUUUUUUAUUGAGGUCCCUGAUAUUAAUGUAAUAAUGUAAGUUACUAUAUUUUUUUAAUUAAAAAUUAAAAAUUGAAAUUUGUAAUGGUUUAUAUUAAUGAGAUUUUAAAUAAAACCCAUAAUUUAUGGGAUUAAAAAUAAUAAAAUAUAAAUUAUUCUCUCUAUUAUAUUUUGUGUGUGUGUGUGUGUAUAUAUAUAUACAUAUAUGUAUGGGUACAUUAACCAAAAUUAACAAAAAAAAUUAUUGUACCAAAACAUGGAUACAUUGUCAAAUCAACGAAAAAGAAUGUACCCAUAUAAGUUAAAACAUGGAUUAAAAAAUUUGAAUGGAUUUUAUAUUAAAAAAGGGUACAUUUUACAUAUAACAAAUUGAUAUACUUGAGAAUGGGUACAUUUAAGAUUAAAAAAAUUGAAAAAUUAUAUGAAUGGGUACAUUUAAGAUUAAAAAAUUGAGAAUCUUUUUAUAUAUAUAAAAAAAAAACUAAUAGGUACAAACUUAAUUUAAUUUAAUUUUUUUAUUAUUUUGGAAAUGUUUGAAUUGAAAAUU